CCCUUAGAUGUUCUGGGCUGCACGCGCGCUACACUGAUGAAGGCAGCGAGUAAUGACCUUGGUCGAUAGGCCUGGGUAAUCUUGUGAAACUUCAUCGUGCUGGGGAUAGACCUUUGCAAUUAUGGGUCUUCAACGAGGAAUUCCUAGUAAACGCAAGUCAUCAGCUUGCAUUGAUUACGUCCCUGCCCUUUGUACACACCGCCCGUCGCACCUACCGAUUGAAUGGUCCGGUGAAAUCUCGGGACGGCGGCUUGGUCGCUUGCGUCCGACUGCUGAAACUUGAUUAAACCAUAUCAUUUAGAGGAAGGUGAAGUCGUAACA
This 321-nucleotide ribosomal RNA is filed under the name uncultured eukaryote. RNAcentral describes it as "partial 18S ribosomal RNA". It matches the Rfam family "Eukaryotic small subunit ribosomal RNA", at positions 1470 to 1796 of the family's 1831-position model. The record is from RNAcentral.